RNAcentral lists this ribosomal RNA (497 nucleotides) under uncultured bacterium. RNAcentral describes it as "partial 16S ribosomal RNA". It matches the Rfam family "Bacterial small subunit ribosomal RNA", at positions 28 to 507 of the family's 1533-position model. The record is from RNAcentral.
GAUGAACGCUGGCGGCGUGUCUAAUACAUGCAAGUCGAGCGAACGGACGAGAAGCUUGCUUCUCUGAUGUUAGCGGCGGACGGGUGAGUAACACGUGGAUAACCUACCUAUAAGACUGGGAUAACUUCGGGAAACCGGAGCUAAUACCGGAUAAUAUUUUGAACCGCAUGGUUCAAAGGUGAAAGACGGUCUUGCUGUCACUUAUAGAUGGAUCCGCGCUGCAUUAGCUAGUUGGUAAGGUAACGGCUUACCAAGGCAACGAUGCAUAGCCGACCUGAGAGGGUGAUCGGCCACACUGGAACUGAGACACGGUCCAGACUCCUACGGGAGGCAGCAGUAGGGAAUCUUCCGCAAUGGGCGAAAGCCUGACGGAGCAACGCCGCGUGAGUGAUGAAGGUCUUCGGAUCGUAAAACUCUGUUAUUAGGGAAGAACAUAUGUGUAAGUAACUGUGCACAUCUUGACGGUACCUAAUCAGAAAGCCACGGCUAACUUCGUG